GGGGGUGAUCUGGAUUCGACCGGAUGUAGAGAAGCGCUGACCUGCGUGUCGUGGUUGAUCAGUUGGCCACGUAAAAAGCUGAUCACAAUUUUUUAAUUGCAAACGAAAGUUUCGCACUGGCCGCCUAAGAACAGGUAGCCCGGGUUGAUGGGGGCCGCCAAAGUCGCCUGAAUACCCGUCACAAUUUUGGAUCGCUCUCCGUCCUACUCGAGACGCGGUGAGUUAAAAAAGAUUCGAGUUAGCGGAACUGGGAGCCUGUCAAGCAGCGCCCAGCGAAGUGAAAAGGUUCUUCAGUGAACUACAAAUAGUUUGACUACACAUCGUAGACGGUCACGUGGACGCAUCGCGGGACGCGGGUUCAAUUCCCGCCGCCUCCA
Molecule: transfer-messenger RNA, 377 nt
Filed under: Rubripirellula amarantea
Lineage: Bacteria; Pseudomonadati; Planctomycetota; Planctomycetia; Pirellulales; Pirellulaceae
Description: Planctomycetes bacterium Pla22 transfer-messenger RNA, SsrA
Rfam family: transfer-messenger RNA
About the family: Bacterial tmRNA, also known as 10Sa RNA or SsrA, is named for its dual tRNA and mRNA-like properties. Its role is to liberate the mRNA from a stalled ribosome.
Source: RNAcentral